Hippopotamus amphibius kiboko is the source of this 445-nucleotide long non-coding RNA. RefSeq lists it as uncharacterized. NCBI's taxonomy places the organism in Eukaryota, Metazoa, Chordata, Mammalia, Artiodactyla, Hippopotamidae. The record is from RefSeq and is a predicted model, not a curated record. The transcript has 3 exons.
GUUCCUGGAGUGAGGCAGGGAGGAGGCGAUGACCCGAGGCUGCCCAGCGCUUCCCCGUCAAUGGAAAAGGCCAUACUGGCAAGAGAACAACUGUGGCUCCCCUCAAAGAGGAAAGGACAUACCAUUUAUGAGAGAAAUGAUGGAACGAGAAGGGACUGGCUGGAUACACCAUCAGUGCCAAGGACACCAGAGCUGUCUGUGUGCAGUUUCUGGCUGAAGUUCAACCAAAGGGAGGCAGUGCUAGGAAACCCUGAAGUCACUUUGAAAUCAACAUUCAACAUGUCCUGGGACUUCCCUGAUGGUCCAGUGGUUAAGACUCCAUGCUCCUAAUGCUGGCGGUCUGGGUUUGCUUCCUGGUUAGGGAACUAGAUCCCACAUGCUGUAACUAAGAGCCCGCAUGCUGCAACUAAAGAUCCCAUGUCUAAGACCUGGCGCAGCCAAAUAA